AUGAAAUCCUCUCAAUCACCGUACCCAUCAAUGCACGGUGCUCCUCUGAGAUGGAUGCUCGCCCUAGCAGAUCCUUCAGCUCCUCCGACCGCGCACCAGACGGCGCCGGACUCGUCCGAUGGCCCUUUUCGAAGGUCGGACGCGGAGGGCUUUGGGGGGCCAUAUGACUACCUUCCGGCCCCGCCGGAUUUGGAGAAACCCUCCGUGAUGAUACCUCAGGGUCGCCCGCCUCGCAAGGCGGUACGGCAGGGGGAGGCGUUCCGCUCUCCAUCAUCUCCGGAAGAAGAUCCCCCGAAGACGAGCUCUGCUGAGAAGGGCUAA
Molecule: ribosomal RNA, 321 nt
Filed under: Triticum aestivum (bread wheat)
Lineage: Eukaryota; Viridiplantae; Streptophyta; Magnoliopsida; Poales; Poaceae
Description: partial small subunit ribosomal RNA
Source: RNAcentral